GGACUACUGGGGUAUCUAAUCCUGUUUGCUCCCCACGCUUUCGUGCCUGAGCGUCAGUGUCAGCCCAGGGGGCUGCCUUCGCCAUCGGUGUUCCUCCGCAUCUCUACGCAUUUCACUGCUACACGCGGAAUUCCACCCCCCUCUGCCACACUCUAGCUCGCCAGUUUCCAAUGCCAUUCCCAAGUUGAGCCCGGGGCUUUCACAUCAGACACAACGAACCGCCUGCGCACGCUUUACGCCCAGUAAUUCCGAUUAACGCUCGCACCCUACGUAUUACCGCGGCGGCUGGCAC
This 292-nucleotide ribosomal RNA is filed under the name uncultured bacterium. Its description in RNAcentral is "partial 16S ribosomal RNA". The record is from RNAcentral. RNAcentral also lists the same sequence under 1 other name.